Molecule: non-coding RNA, 102 nt
Organism: Mycena galopus ATCC 62051
Lineage: Eukaryota; Fungi; Basidiomycota; Agaricomycetes; Agaricales; Mycenaceae
Source: the annotation of a GenBank genome assembly
GGCCGGAUGGUCUAGUAGUAUGAUUCCUUGUUAGGGUAACGCGUGAUCGACGUCACGCGAUCCUGAUCGAGGAGGUCCCGGGUUCAAUUCCCGGUUCGGCCC